GUAUGUCACCAUAUAGGGAAAUCCCCAUUGAGGUCACUAUGACCUGGGGACUUGGGGCCAUCACCUUGGUCACUUUCUAAUACCUGCCACAGGCCUAAACACUCACCCUUGCCAUGUGAUGUUUCGAUGAUCCAGUCUACAAAUAAUUGAAGAGACAUUGAUCCCUUAAAUUGAGGGGAUGAAUGCAGAAGAUGAUGACAGAGUGAGUGUGAGCAUGAGAUGUUAUUUUACUUCAAGUUCAUGGUCAAAUACUGUCCCCAGAGUACCCCUCAUGGGGCCACUCAGCUACACACAGAGAAAGCUGUGAGAGUUGUCAGGCCUGAGCCAGAGGCAUCAGCCCAGCCCGCUUCCUCUCAGCUACAACAGGAAAUGAGUGUCCAGGACUCUGCUCUGCUAGGGGACUACAUGUGCUCUGUCUUCUGCAAUUACCCAGUCUUGAGCACAGCACUUGGCACACAGCCGUCCCUCUACGACUACUGACUGGAUGAAUAAAUGAAUGAGCAAAAGGACAGAUGAAUGCAGCCCAUGUCAGAAGCUUUGAAGUUUUUCACAAACAUCUUUGAUGUCAUAUUCUCUUCAGUGAUAUAACGCAAGAACGCAGUGACAAGAUGGCCAAGGCCCCAGUGGAAAAGACCGAGACUCCCAGAGAAACGGCAACUUACCAGGAUUGCAGCCCAGACCUCUCUAAUUUGGAAGCCUCUCCAUCUCACCAGUUAAUGAGUAUUCACAUGUUGGAUCUGAGCUGUUCUGACAAUGGUGAAGACACCUGGGAGAGGAAUGCCAGGGAAUGCUGAUCUUCAGAAAACAGGUAGGAGGACAGAGAAGCCCAAAAC
This 833-nucleotide long non-coding RNA is filed under the name Heterocephalus glaber (naked mole-rat). RNAcentral describes it as "lncRNA (ENSHGLG00100044873.1)". The record is from RNAcentral. Lineage: Eukaryota; Metazoa; Chordata; Mammalia; Rodentia; Bathyergidae.